Molecule: long non-coding RNA, 141 nt
Organism: Herpailurus yagouaroundi (jaguarundi)
Lineage: Eukaryota; Metazoa; Chordata; Mammalia; Carnivora; Felidae
Exons: 3
Source: RefSeq, a predicted model, not a curated record
ACUUGUGCUCUUCCAUCUGUUUGUCCUCUGUAUCACUGAUUCUGUGUUCUGCCUCAUCCAUCCUUGCCUCCGUGACCUCCAUUUGAAAUUGCAGCUCAGUCACAGCAUUUUUUAUUUCAUCUUGACUAGCUUUUACUACUU